RNAcentral lists this ribosomal RNA (318 nucleotides) under Triticum aestivum (bread wheat). Its description in RNAcentral is "partial small subunit ribosomal RNA". The record is from RNAcentral. Lineage: Eukaryota; Viridiplantae; Streptophyta; Magnoliopsida; Poales; Poaceae.
AUGGGAAUAUAUUGGGCCCACAUGUGGCCAUCAGUGGAGUUGAGAUGUACUAUGUCUUCUCUUCUCCCAAACCAGGCCGAGCUUUGUGAGCCCAAAGCCUGGGAGUUUAUGGUUUUAUUUCUCAUCAAGGAUGUUGGGGGACUUGAAACCUCGGUAGAUGACCGGCUAGUUCAUUUUCUCAUGGCGGUGUUCGAUCCCCCUAGCAGUUAUGUGGGCUAUCUUCAUCCUGAUAUGCAACGGAGGGAGUAUUUGAUUAGAAUUGUUAUCUACAAUGACGCCAGUUCAACUUAUAAUUUCUUGUACUCGUAUCGUAAAUGA